CGCGUAGGCGGCCUGGGCAGUCCUGGGUGAAAGCCCCGGCUCAACCGGGGAAGGGCCUGGGAAACCACUGGGCUGGAGUGCUGGAGAGGGAGGCGGAAUUCCUGGUGUAGCGGUGAAAUGCGUAGAGAUCAGGAGGAACAUCGGCGGCGAAGGCGGCCUUCUGGACAGACACUGACGCUGAGGCGCGAAAGCCGGGGAGCAAACA
This 205-nucleotide ribosomal RNA is filed under the name uncultured bacterium. Its description in RNAcentral is "partial 16S ribosomal RNA". It matches the Rfam family "Bacterial small subunit ribosomal RNA", at positions 568 to 774 of the family's 1533-position model. The record is from RNAcentral.